This 406-nucleotide ribosomal RNA is filed under the name uncultured bacterium. RNAcentral describes it as "partial 16S ribosomal RNA". It matches the Rfam family "Bacterial small subunit ribosomal RNA", at positions 30 to 525 of the family's 1533-position model. The record is from RNAcentral.
AUUGAACGCUGGCGGCAGGCCUAACACAUGCAAGUCGAGCGGGCGGCGGACGGGUGAGUAAUGUAUGGGGAUCUGCCUGAUAGAGGGGUAUAACUACUGUAAAAGUUGGCUAAUACCGCAUACUAUCGUUUGCACCCAUAGGGGAUUAGGUAGUAGGUGGGGUAAAGGCUCACCUAGGCGACGAUGUCUAGCUGGUCUGAGAGGAUGAUCAGCCACACUGGGACGGAGACACGGCCCAGACUCCUACGGGAGGCAGCAGUGGGGAAUAUUGCACAAUGGACGAAAGCCUGAUCCAGCCAUGCCGCGUGUAUGAAGAAGGCCUUAGGGUUGUAAAGCUCUUUCAGCGGGGAGGCGUUACCCACACAGGAAGCAACGGCUAACUACGUGCCAGCCGCCGCGGUAAUUA